GCGGGAGUAGCUCAGGUGGAAGAGCGAGAGCCUUCCAAGCUCUAGGUCGCGGGUUCGAGGCCCGUCUCCCGCUCCA
Molecule: transfer RNA, 76 nt
Filed under: Pseudomonadota bacterium
Lineage: Bacteria; Pseudomonadati; Pseudomonadota
Also listed under: 3 other names
Description: tRNA-Gly
Rfam family: tRNA
About the family: Transfer RNA (tRNA) molecules are approximately 80 nucleotides in length. Their secondary structure includes four short double-helical elements and three loops (D, anti-codon, and T loops).
Source: RNAcentral